CUACGGGAGGCAGCAGUGGGGAAUAUUGCACAAUGGAGGAAACUCUGAUGCAGCAACGCCGCGUGGAGGAUGACACUUUUCGGAGCGUAAACUCCUUUUAUAUAGGAAGAAGAUGACGGUACUAUAUGAAUAAGCGCCGGCUAACUCCGUGCCAGCAGCCGCGGUAAUACGGAGGGCGCAAGCGUUACUCGGAAUCACUGGGCGUAAAGGGCGUGUAGGCGGAUUAAAAAGUCAGAAGUGAAAUCCUAUAGCUUAACUAUAGAACUGCUUCUGAAACUCUUAAUCUAGAAUAUGGGAGAGGUAGAUGGAAUUUCUGGUGUAGGGGUAACAUCCGUAGAGAUCAGAAGGAAUACCGAUUGCGAAGGCGAUCUACUAGAACAUUAUUGACGCUGAGACGCGAAAGCGUGGGGAGCAAACAGGAUUAGAUACCCUAGUAGUC
Molecule: ribosomal RNA, 439 nt
Filed under: uncultured bacterium
Lineage: Bacteria
Description: partial 16S ribosomal RNA
Rfam family: Bacterial small subunit ribosomal RNA
Source: RNAcentral